Long non-coding RNA from Cotesia glomerata, 96 nucleotides. RefSeq lists it as uncharacterized. Lineage: Eukaryota; Metazoa; Arthropoda; Insecta; Hymenoptera; Braconidae. The record is from RefSeq and is a predicted model, not a curated record. The transcript is spliced from 3 exons.
UUAUAGUUUAUGGAUUAUCACGUUAAUUAACUCAUAAAUUUUAUGUGAAAGGUUUGAAAAUAUUUUUUCGUCAAUGGCAAACUGCAAACUGUCAUU